RNAcentral lists this ribosomal RNA (252 nucleotides) under uncultured bacterium. RNAcentral describes it as "partial 16S ribosomal RNA". It matches the Rfam family "Bacterial small subunit ribosomal RNA", at positions 524 to 776 of the family's 1533-position model. The record is from RNAcentral.
UACGUAGGGGGCGAGCGUUAUCCGGAUUUAUUGGGCGUAAAGCGUGCGUAGGCGGUUUGUUAAGUCCAGAAUUAAAGCCCGAGGCUUAACCUCGGUUCGUUCUGGAUACCGGCAGGCUUGAGUAUGGUAGAGGCAAAUGGAAUUCCUAGUGUAGCGGUGAAAUGCGUAGAUAUUAGGAGGAACACCAGUGGCGAAGGCGGUCUGCUGGACAGCAACUGACGGUGAGGCGCGAAAGCGUGGGGAGCAAACAGG